AUUGAACGCUGGCGGCAGGCCUAACACAUGCAAGUCGAGCGGUAGCACAGAGAGCUUGCUCUCGGGUGACGAGCGGCGGACGGGUGAGUAAUGUCUGGGAAACUGCCUGAUGGAGGGGGAUAACUACUGGAAACGGUAGCUAAUACCGCAUAACGUCGCAAGACCAAAGUGGGGGACCUUCGGGCCUCAUGCCAUCAGAUGUGCCCAGAUGGGAUUAGCUAGUAGGUGGGGUAACGGCUCACCUAGGCGACGAUCGCUAGCUGGUCUGAGAGGAUGACCAGCCACACUGUAACUGAGACACGGUCCAUACUCUUACGGGAGGAAGCAGUGGGGAAUAUUGCACAAUGGGCGCAAGCCUGAUGCAGCCAUGCCGCGUGUGUGAAGAAGGCCUUCGGGUUGUAAAGCACUUUCAGCGGGGAGGAAGGCGGUGAGGUUAAUACCUUUGCUCAUUGACGUUACCCGCAGAAGAAGCACCGGCUAACUCCGUGCCAGCAGCCGCCGUAA
RNAcentral lists this ribosomal RNA (504 nucleotides) under uncultured bacterium. RNAcentral describes it as "partial 16S ribosomal RNA". It matches the Rfam family "Bacterial small subunit ribosomal RNA", at positions 30 to 523 of the family's 1533-position model. The record is from RNAcentral.